This 30-nucleotide non-coding RNA is filed under the name Mus musculus (house mouse). The record is from RNAcentral. Lineage: Eukaryota; Metazoa; Chordata; Mammalia; Rodentia; Muridae.
UCUAUUUACCAAUGGGUAUAAGGAUUCAGU